Molecule: ribosomal RNA, 262 nt
Filed under: uncultured bacterium
Lineage: Bacteria
Description: partial 16S ribosomal RNA
Rfam family: Bacterial small subunit ribosomal RNA
Source: RNAcentral
GUCCACGCCGUAAACGAUGUCGAUUUGGAGGCUGUGUCCUUGAGACGUGGCUUCCGGAGCUAACGCGUUAAAUCGACCGCCUGGGGAGUACGGCCGCAAGGUUAAAACUUAAAUGAAUUGACGGGGCCCGCACAAGCGGUGGAGCAUGUGGUUUAAUUCGAUGCAACGCGAAGAACCUUACCUGGCCUUGACAUGUCUGGAAUCCUGUAGAGAUACUGGAGUGCCUUCGGGAAUCAGAACACAGGUGCUGCAUGGCUGUCGU